RNAcentral lists this ribosomal RNA (832 nucleotides) under uncultured bacterium. RNAcentral's name for it is "bacterial SSU rRNA". It matches the Rfam family "Bacterial small subunit ribosomal RNA", at positions 8 to 796 of the family's 1533-position model. The record is from RNAcentral.
AGAGUUUGAUCAUGGCUCAGGAUGAACGCCGGCGGUGUGCCUAAUACAUGCAAGUCGUACGCACUGGCCCAACUGAUUGAUGGUGCUUGCACCUGAUUGACGAUGGAUUACCAGUGAGUGGCGGACGGGUGAGUAACACGUAGGUAACCUGCCCCGGAGCGGGGGAUAACAUUUGGAAACAGAUGCUAAUACCGCAUAACAACAAAAGCCACAUGGCUUUUGUUUAAAAGAUGGCUUUGGCUAUCACUCUGGGAUGGACCUGCGGUGCAUUAGCUAGUUGGUAAGGUAACGGCUUACCAAGGCGAUGAUGCAUAGCCGAGUUGAGAGACUGAUCGGCCACAAUGGAACUGAGACACGGUCCAUACUCCUACGGGAGGCAGCAGUAGGGAAUCUUCCACAAUGGGCGCAAGCCUGAUGGAGCAACACCGCGUGAGUGAAGAAGGGUUUCGGCUCGUAAAGCUCUGUUGUUGGAGAAGAACGUGCGUGAGAGUAACUGUUCAUGCAGUGACGGUAUCCAACCAGAAAGUCACGGCUAACUACGUGCCAGCAGCCGCGGUAAUACGUAGGUGGCAAGCGUUAUCCGGAUUUAUUGGGCGUAAAGCGAGCGCAGGCGGUUGCUUAGGUCUGAUGUGAAAGCCUUCGGCUUAACCGAAGAAGUGCAUCGGAAACCGGGCGACUUGAGUGCAGAAGAGGACAGUGGAACUCCAUGUGUAGCGGUGGAAUGCGUAGAUAUAUGGAAGAACACCAGUGGCGAAGGCGGCUGUCUGGUCUGCAACUGACGCUGAGGCUCGAAAGCAUGGGUAGCGAACAGGAUUAGAUACCCUGGUAGUCC